GAUGAACGCUGGCGGCGUGCUUAACACAUGCAAGUCGAACGAAACACCUUAUUUGAUUUUCUUCGGAACUGAAGAUUUGGUGAUUGAGUGGCGGACGGGUGAGUAACGCGUGGGUAACCUGCCCUGUACAGGGGGAUAACAGUCAGAAAUGACUGCUAAUACCGCAUAAGACCACAGCACCGCAUGGUGCAGGGGUAAAAACUCCGGUGGUACAGGAUGGACCCGCGUCUGAUUAGCUGGUUGGUGAGGUAACGGCUCACCAAGGCGACGAUCAGUAGCCGGCUUGAGAGAGUGAACGGCCACAUUGGGACUGAGACACGGCCCAAACUCCUACGGGAGGCAGCAGUGGGGAAUAUUGCACAAUGGGGGAAACCCUGAUGCAGCGACGCCGCGUGAGUGAAGAAGUAUUGCGGUAUGUAAAGCUCUAUCAGCAGGGAAGAAAAUGACGGGACCUGACUAAGAAGCCCCGGCUAACGACG
This 479-nucleotide ribosomal RNA is filed under the name uncultured bacterium. RNAcentral's name for it is "partial 16S ribosomal RNA". It matches the Rfam family "Bacterial small subunit ribosomal RNA", at positions 28 to 505 of the family's 1533-position model. The record is from RNAcentral.